This 468-nucleotide ribosomal RNA is filed under the name uncultured bacterium. RNAcentral describes it as "partial 16S ribosomal RNA". It matches the Rfam family "Bacterial small subunit ribosomal RNA", at positions 28 to 507 of the family's 1533-position model. The record is from RNAcentral.
GAUGAACGCUGGCGGCAGGCUUAACGCAUGCAAGUCGAACGGAAAGUUCCUUCCUUUUGGUUGUGCUCGGGGUGCGGACGGGUGAGUAAUAUGUGAGUUACCUUUCUUUGACGUUUGGCUUAUCUCAAGAAACUUUGGUUAAUACCAGUUUGUUAUUCCGGCUCGAUUGAUGUUGUUGGAUACUUUGGGUGGUUGUGGAUGGGCUCGCGGUUUAUCAGUUGGUUGGUGGGGUAGUGGCUUACCAAGGCUUUUUUGGGUGGCCGGCCUGAGAGGGUGACCGGCAAAAUUGGGACUGAGAUACGGCAGGGACUACUACGGGAGACAGCAGUAGGGAAUAUUGCCCGAUGGGCGGAAGCCUGAUGCAGCAACGCGGCGUGCGGGAUGACGGACUGCUGUUAGCAAACGGCAAUCGCCUGUACCGAAGAGUGAGUGACGGUAAUGGGUAAAGAAGCACCGGCUAACUACGUG